This 200-nucleotide unclassified non-coding RNA is filed under the name Peniophora sp. Its description in RNAcentral is "partial internal transcribed spacer 2". The record is from RNAcentral. Lineage: Eukaryota; Fungi; Basidiomycota; Agaricomycetes; Russulales; Peniophoraceae.
UUAAGUUCAGCGGGUAGUCCCGCCUGAUUUGAGGUCAAGUUCGUAGUAGUUGUCUCUCGCGAGACGGUUGGAAGCGAUUCCCAUGUAUUCGCUAAGCCGAGGCGUAGAUGACUAUCACACCAAGGCCGCAAGGGCUUCGCUAAUGUAUUCAAGGAGAGCGGAUCGGCCAGGGACCCGCAAGCUCCCAAAUCCCAGCCCAA